This 1023-nucleotide long non-coding RNA is filed under the name Arabidopsis lyrata. RNAcentral's name for it is "long non-coding RNA (ALYR_LNC002963)". Lineage: Eukaryota; Viridiplantae; Streptophyta; Magnoliopsida; Brassicales; Brassicaceae. The record is from RNAcentral.
AGAUAUACAGAGAGAGAUAAUGGCGUACAGUGCCUGUUUCCUACACCAGAGCGCAUUGGCUUCCUCAGCCGCACGAUCAUCAUCUUCCUCCUCAUCCCAGCGUCACGUGUCACUCUCCAAACCUGUUCAGAUCAUGUGUAAAGCUCAACAGCCUCAUGAAGACGAUAACUCCGCCGUCUCCCGUCGUCUUGCUCUCACUCUCCUCGUCGGCGCCGCUGCUGUUGGUUCCAAAGUAUCUCCUGCUGAUGCCGCCUACGGUGAAGCUGGUGCGAACUUUUUCAAGAAAAUCGAAUAACCUUGGAUCAUUUCAUUUUCAGACCGAAUCUUGAAAACAUAUUUCUCUGGUUUUUUUUUUCUUGGUUUGUUGCAGCAAAUGUGUUUGGGAAGCCAAAGACGAACACAGACUUCUUGCCAUACAAUGGAGAUGGAUUCAAAGUGCAGGUGCCAGCAAAAUGGAACCCAAGCAAAGAGAUUGAGUAUCCAGGACAAGUCCUUAGGUACGAAGACAACUUCGAUGCUACUAGCAAUCUCAAUGUCAUGGUCACUCCUACUGACAAGAAGUCCAUCACUGAUUACGGUUCUCCCGAAGAGUUCCUCUCUCAGGUCUUUUACUUUACUCCAUUAUCUAUAAAGAUGAUGAUGUUACAAAAUAUAAUGAAGUGUGAGACUGAGUGGUGAUUUUGGGCUUUAUGCAGGUUAAUUACCUCCUAGGGAAACAAGCUUACUUCGGUGAGACUGCCUCUGAGGUAAACUUCCCAUUGUCAUUUGUUUGAGUAACCUGAAGCUGACAGAAUAGAAUAUGAGAAUCAAACACCGUAGAGAGAACACAUUCUCUCCCUCGUUGUCAACUGAUAAUUGAAACUCUUUUCAACUGAUAACCUCGAAAGAUUUCUCUAGUUUUGGAUGAGUCUUACAAGCAAGAUUUUUACCUUAUGUGGAGUUGGGUUGUCAGGUCCUAACUGUGUGUGAAUCUGACGUUUCUUCCAGGGAGGCUUUGACAACAAUGCAGUGGCAACAGCAAAC